RNAcentral lists this ribosomal RNA (497 nucleotides) under uncultured bacterium. RNAcentral's name for it is "partial 16S ribosomal RNA". It matches the Rfam family "Bacterial small subunit ribosomal RNA", at positions 28 to 507 of the family's 1533-position model. The record is from RNAcentral.
GACGAACGCUGGCGGCGUGCCUAAUACAUGCAAGUCGAGCGAAAAGACGAGGCGCUUGCUCCUCUGUCGUUAGCGGAGGACGGGAGAGUAACACGAGGAUAAUGUACCUAUCAGACUGGGAUAACCACGGGAAACGGGAGCUAACACCGGAUAAUAUAUUGAACCGCAGGGUUCAAUAGAGAGAGACGGCUUUGCUGUAACUACUCGCUGGUUAUGAGCUGUAUUAGGUAGUUGGUAAGGUAAAGGGUUAUCACGGCGACGAUGCGUAUCCGACCUGAGAGGGUGAUCGGCCACACUGGAGCUGAGACACGGUCCAUGCUCCUACGGGAGGCACCAGUAGGGAAUCGGCCGCAAUGGUCGAAAGCCUUGCGGAGCGACGCCGCGUGAGUGGUGAAGGUCUUCCGAUCGUAAAACUCUGUUAUUAGUGAAGAACAAAUGUGGAAGGAGCUAUGCACUUCUUGACGGUACCUGGUCAGAAAGCCACGGCUAACUACGUG